AUGAAGUUUCUUCGGAAAUGGAUUAGCGGCGAACGGGUGAGGAACACGUGAAGAAUCUGCCCUCCACUUUGGGAUAACACAGGGAAACCUGUGCUAAUACCGAAUAUUGAAACAUAAGUGGCAUCACUGAGUUUUGAAAGAAUUUCGGUGGAGGAUGACUUCGCGGCCUAUCAGCUAGUUGGUGAGGUAAUGGCUCACCAAGGCAACGACGGGUAGCCGGCCUGAGAGGGCGACCGGCCACACUGGGACUGAGACACGGCCCAGACUCCUACGGGAGGCAGCAGUGGGGAAUAUUGGGCAAUGGAGGAAACUCUGACCCAGCGACGCCGCGUGCGGGAUGAAGGCCUUCGGGUUGUAAACCGCUUUCAGUAGGGAAGAAGCGAAAGUGACGGUACCUACAAAAGAAGCACCGGCUAACUAUGUGCCAGCAGCCGCGGUAAUACAUAGGGUGCAAGCGUUGUCCGGAAUUAUUGGGCGUAAAGAGCUCGUAGGUCGUUUGUUACGUCGGAUGUGAAAACCUGAGGCUCAACCUCAGGCCUGCAUUCGAUACGGGCAAACUAGAGUUUGGUAGGGGAGACUGGAAUUCCUGGUGUAGCGGUGGAAUGCGCAGAUAUCAGGAGGAACACCAAUGGCGAAGGCAGGUCUCUGGGCCAAUACUGACACUGAGGAGCGAAGUCUGGGGAGCGAACAGAUUAGAUACCCUGGUA
RNAcentral lists this ribosomal RNA (707 nucleotides) under uncultured bacterium. RNAcentral's name for it is "bacterial SSU rRNA". It matches the Rfam family "Bacterial small subunit ribosomal RNA", at positions 69 to 792 of the family's 1533-position model. The record is from RNAcentral.